RNAcentral lists this ribosomal RNA (451 nucleotides) under uncultured bacterium. RNAcentral's name for it is "partial 16S ribosomal RNA". It matches the Rfam family "Bacterial small subunit ribosomal RNA", at positions 354 to 796 of the family's 1533-position model. The record is from RNAcentral.
GUGGGGAAUAUUGGACAAUGGGGGGAACCCUGAUCCAGCCAUGCCGCGUGUGUGAAGAAGGCCUUUUGGUUGUAAAGCACUUUAAGCGAGGAGGAGGCUACCGAGAUUAAUACUCUUGGAUAGUGGACGUUACUCGCAGAAUAAGCACCGGCUAACUCUGUGCCAGCAGCCGCGGUAAUACAGAGGGUGCAAGCGUUAAUCGGAUUUACUGGGCGUAAAGCGCGCGUAGGUGGCCAAUUAAGCCAAAUGUGAAAUCCCCGAGCUUAACUUGGGAAUUGCAUUCGAUACUGGUUGGCUAGAGUAUGGGAGAGGAUGGUAGAAUUCCAGGUGUAGCGGUGAAAUGCGUAGAGAUCUGGAGGAAUACCGAUGGCGAAGGCAGCCAUCUGGCCUAAUACUGACACUGAGGUGCGAAAGCAUGGGGAGCAAACAGGAUUAGAAACCCCUGUAGUCC